GACGAACGCUGGCGGCGUGCUUAACACAUGCAAGUCGAACGGAAAGGCCCUGCUUUUGUGGGGUGCUCGAGUGGCGAACGGGUGAGUAACACGUGAGUAACCUGCCCUUUACUUUGGGAUAACUUCAGGAAACUGGGGCUAAUACCGGAUAGGAGCUCCUGCUGCAUGGUGGGGGUUGGUAAGUUUCGGCGGUUGGGGAUGGACUCGUGGCUUAUCAGCUUGUUGGUGGGGUAGUGGCUUACCAAGGCUUUGACGGGUAGCCGGCCUGCGAGGGUGACCGGCCACAUUGGGACUGAGAUGCGGCCCAGACUCCUACGGGAGGCAGCAGUGGGGAAUAUUGCACAAAGGGCGGAAGCCUGGUGCAGCAACGCCGCGUGCGGGAUGACGGCCUUUGGGUUGUAACCCGCUUUCGCCUGUGACGAAGCGUGAGUGACGGUAAUGGGUAAAGAAGCACCGGCUAACUACGUG
RNAcentral lists this ribosomal RNA (468 nucleotides) under uncultured bacterium. RNAcentral's name for it is "partial 16S ribosomal RNA". It matches the Rfam family "Bacterial small subunit ribosomal RNA", at positions 28 to 507 of the family's 1533-position model. The record is from RNAcentral.